CUCACCUAAAUCUCCCUUGCUGCAGAUUAAGCCCAUUACUUGUCCUACCUUCAGUGGACAUGGAGAAUAAUUGAUUACUACCAUUCUCUUUCUAUCAGCCAUGAACAUACCUGCAGACUGUGAUCAGGUCGCCCUCAGUCGUCUUUCCUCAAGACUAAAGGUGCCCAGUUUUUUAACCUUUCCUCAUAGGUCAGGUUUUCUAAACCUUUCAUCAUUUUCAUAGCUCUCCUCUGGACUCUCCCUAAUUUUCUUAAAAACAGGGUGCUCAGAACUGGACCCAGGACUCCAGCUGAGGCCUCACCAGAGCCGAGUAGAGCCGGACAAUCACUUUCCGUGUCUUACAUCUGACACAUGUGUUGCUGCAGCUCAGACUGAUACUAACCUUUUUCACAGCUGCAUCACAUUGCUGACUCAUGUUCAGUUUGCACUUCUCUGUAAGCCCUAGAUCCUUUUCAGCAGGACGACGGCCCAGCCAGUUAUUCCCCACUUUGUAGUUGGUCUCGCUCUCUUGAGAAGAGAGUCAGCGUUCCCUUGGUGUUGGACAGCUGAGAAAUGACUCGUCCUUCCUGGUAUUGCCGAUGUCUGGUGAAGUGUUCUAUGUAGAUGUCCCUUGACCACCUGAUGGUGUCCGACACCAUGAAUUGCCGCAUCAGCCGAGUGUAGCGCUGACCCCUUCUGCGUUCACUGAAUACUAGCUUGUUACUGGGGUCCCAUGUGCCUAAGGCUCCGACGAUCAGUGCGUGUGUCUGGACCUGGAACCCUUAGCUCUCAAGGUGUUGGCCAGAAGGGCGUAUUUCUCUACCUUUCGAAACUGGGCAUCGUGGAAAGCACUGUGACUUCCACCAUGACGAUCUUCCACUCCUCGGCAGUGGUGGUGGUGAUGUCUGGUCGCAGUUGGCUGUCGGCAGGGGCGGCUCCAGGCAUCAGCACGCCAAGUGCGUGCCUGGGGCAGCAAGCCCCGGGGGGGUGCUCUGCUGGUCGCCAGGAGGGCAGCAGGCAGGUUGUUUUCGGUGGCACGCCUGGGGAGGAUCCGCUGGUCCCGUGACUUCGACGGACCUCCCGCAGGCGUGCCCCCGAAUCCGCAGGAUGGGGAACCUCCUGCAGGCAAGCCUCCGAAGGCAGCCUGCCUGCUGUGCUUGGGGUUGCAAAGUACCUAGAGCCGCCCCUAGCUGUCGGUUCUGGGGAUGGAGGAGUUCACGGGCCCCCCCGGGUGGCAGGACAGCUCUGGCCAGGCGGUCUUGGAUGGUGGCGUUUCGCAGCUGCCAAGCUCUCGCAUGGGGCUUGCAGCUACCCAGGACGUGGGGUAGCAUCUUGUUGGCGUAGCCACACUUCCUGCAUCGCUUGUCCCGAUUCCCAUGGCGGACGGCUCUGUUCAGCGGGACGCAGUGCUACUGCGGCUCCAGCCCUGGCUGCCUUUCUGGAAGAGAUACUUUAACCAAACACACGGGAUUGGGCUCAGGGCAGGGUGCCUAUGUUAGAAGUGGGUCCUACUGAGGGAGACCUACUGGCUCCUCCUGGCCUUAACCUCUAUUAGCAUUAGGCCUGGGGGUACUUAUCCUAGGAGGUCUGCUUCAGAUUCAAAUGCAAAUGGGAUCUCAGGUUUAGGCAGAGGAGCAAUCCCCUUAUCUGCAUCCCCUCCGGCUGGCCCUGGGGGAGGGGAGGUGGUCCAGACCGUACAGGAGGGGCUAUCUUUACACUGGGCCAUUAGAAAUCAGCCCUGGGCUCUCUCUGAGCUCUCCGAACAGCUGGGAGUUGGUGAAUAAUGGCAGGGGAGUCCCCCUCUUGCCUUUAUCUUGAGCCAAUGGUCAGGCAGGAGUGUAGCAAUAGUGGAAAACUCUCCGCUUCCCAGGGGAAAAACCCUCCCGCCUCCGCUAGAUGUACAUCACAGCGGCCUUCCCGAGGGGACUGGGAUCUACAUGCCUGGGCAGCAGCCUGGCCCUGAUAUUAUCUCCCUCUUGAUCAUCCCCUGGUUCUUGCUCUGGGUCGUCCCACCCUGCUGACUUUUUUGGCCUGCAAUAGUUUAAUUGCCUGCAGCCGCAGCCCCAUUGGUUUAUCGCUGCGCUGAGGCCUGAAGCGGCCGAGGCCGAGCUGCUGCUGAGGAGCCUACUCACGCCGGUGUCCAAGGGGGAGCAGAAAUCGCUGGGGAGGCCUGUUUGCUGCCCAGCCUAACUGUGCAGUGCCCAGAGAGUCCAAAGCCCCUCUGCUUGGUGGGGCUGUAGAUAACGUGUCAAGCCUUUGCAGCAGUGGGUUCCAGCAGUGGGUUGGGGGAUGAGAUGUAGUGAAAGGUAAGGAUAGUCCUUGCUUUGAGUAGUUAAUCAUCUGAAAGUCUCCUAACCUGUGUUCCCCGCCCCUUUGUGCCUCAGUUUCCCCAUCUAUAAAAAUAGGGCUAAUGAUCCUGACUCUGCUUUUGUGAUGUGCUUUGGGAUGGUGGGGGGCAGCCCAGGAGCUAGGCAUUGUGAUUAAACUGCUGUGGUGCCCACCCACCCAACAUUUGGUGUUUCAUGUAAAGGGCUCGGUCCUUGAAAAUGAGAGACCAUGGGAGAGCCUCACCUUUCAUAAAAAAAAAAAAAAAAAAAAAAAAAGUCAAAAGUCCAGAUGCUCACAGGUUCUUCAUGUCUGGGCCCAAGUCCUUUUGCAGACUGUGGUUGGUGAUGUUGAUUGAUUAUUUAGGGUUUGAGCCAAGCAGCAGAAUAGGACAUCGUUCCAGAUCAGCCUGCCAGUCCCCUGAAGGCUGUUUUCAACCCCCGACAGUUUGAUCCAGCCAUUAAGCAUGUUGCAGGGGACGGCUUUUUGUCCUUAGCGGGUGAUUUUUUUAGGUGCAGUCAUUCUGCUGUCAGGAGGUGGGGUGGGGGGCAGAGGCCAGGUCACUUGCCAUACCUGCACUCAAUGAAGGUGCCUCUGGGACUGGUUUGGGAAGCAGACCCCUUAGGGGGCACAGACCAGCUUGUCCUGUUAUGUUUUGAUGGCUUCUGAUUCAGCUCUCGAGUCGCUGGAUUGGCUGGCUCUGAUUGCACUGAGUAGAGAUUUGGGGCACGCCUUAUGUGACACUGUAUGGAAUCUGAGGGACACUUUAGGAUAUUAUGAAUACCAAUAUUGUGAAAUUGCAGUGAGAUAUGCCAUGUAAGAUAUCUGCAGAAAUGUUAUCUGCCAGAUAUGACGAUCUCAUUUGUGUUUGUAUCACCUUUGUACUGUGGAUUAUACCUGUAUUUCAAAA
Long non-coding RNA from Gopherus flavomarginatus (Mexican gopher tortoise), 3214 nucleotides. RefSeq lists it as uncharacterized. The transcript is spliced from 2 exons. The record is from RefSeq and is a predicted model, not a curated record. NCBI's taxonomy places the organism in Eukaryota, Metazoa, Chordata, Testudines, Testudinidae.